RNAcentral lists this ribosomal RNA (496 nucleotides) under Sympetrum darwinianum. RNAcentral's name for it is "partial 16S ribosomal RNA". It matches the Rfam family "Bacterial large subunit ribosomal RNA", at positions 1819 to 2597 of the family's 2925-position model. Lineage: Eukaryota; Metazoa; Arthropoda; Insecta; Odonata; Libellulidae. The record is from RNAcentral.
GGCCUUUUGGGUAUAAUUUAAGGUCUGACCUGCCCAGUGAUGAAUUUAACGGCCGCGGUAUACUGACCGUGCAAAGGUAGCAUAAUCAUUAGUCUUUUAAUAGAGGGCUGGAAUGAACGGUUUAACGAGGAACUGACUGUCUCAUUUUAUUUGUUUUAAAAUUUAAUUUUUUAGUUAAAAAGCUAAAAUUUUAUUGGAAGACGAGAAGACCCUAUAGAUCUUUAUACAAUUUUUGUAUUUAUUAACAUACUUAUAUUAAAAUUGUAUUUUGUUGGGGUGACGAAAAUAUAUAAUUAACUUUUUUAUUUAUUUACCAUUGAUAUAUGAGUAUUAGAUCCAUUACUAGUGAUUGUUAGAAUAAGUUACCUUAGGGAUAACAGCGUAAUCCUCCUCCAGAGCUCAUAUUUACAGGAGGGCUUGCGACCUCGAUGUUGGAUUAAGAUAAUAAUUAGGUGUAGCCGCUUAAUUUAUAGGUCUGUUCGACCUUUAAAUUCUU